UACGAGGGGUGCAAGCGUUGUUCGGAAUGACUGGGCGUAAAGGGUUCGUAGGCGGGAAGACAAGUUCAGUGUGAAAUCCCCAGGCUUAACCUGGGACGUGCAUUGAAAACUGUUUUUCUUGAGUAUUGGAGAGGGUGGUGGAAUUGCUGGUGUAGGAGUGACAUCCGUAGAGAUCAGCAGGAACACCGGAGGCGAAGGCGACCACCUGGCCACAUACUGACGCUGAGGAACGAAAGCGUGGGGAGCAAACAGG
This 253-nucleotide ribosomal RNA is filed under the name uncultured bacterium. Its description in RNAcentral is "partial 16S ribosomal RNA". It matches the Rfam family "Bacterial small subunit ribosomal RNA", at positions 524 to 776 of the family's 1533-position model. The record is from RNAcentral.